Molecule: ribosomal RNA, 253 nt
Filed under: uncultured bacterium
Lineage: Bacteria
Description: partial 16S ribosomal RNA
Rfam family: Bacterial small subunit ribosomal RNA
Source: RNAcentral
UACGUAGGGGGCAAGCGUUGUCCGGAAUCAUUGGGCGUAAAGCGCGCGUAGGCGGCCCUGUAAGUCCGUUGUGAAAGUCGAAGGCUCAACCUUCGAAAGCCGAUGGAUACUGCAGGGCUAGAGUCCGGAAGAGGCGAGUGGAACUCCUGGUGUAGCGGUGGAAUGCGCAGAUAUCAGGAGGAACACCAAUAGCGAAGGCAGCUCGCUGGGACGGUACUGACGCUAAGGCGCGAAAGCGUGGGGAGCGAACAGG